AUUGAACGCUGGCGGCAGGCCUAACACAUGCAAGUCGAACGGCAGCACAGAAGAGCUUGCUCUUUGGGUGGCGAGUGGCGGACGGGUGAGUAACACGUAGGAAUCUACCCAGUAGUGGGGGAUAACCUGGGGAAACCCAGGCUAAUACCGCAUACGCCCUGAGGGGGAAAGCGGGGGAUCUUCGGACCUCGCGCUAUUGGAUGAGCCUGCGUCGGAUUAGCUAGUUGGUGGGGUAAGGGCUCACCAAGGCGACGAUCCGUAGCUGGUCUGAGAGGAUGACCAGUCACACCGGAACUGAGACACGGUCCGGACUCCUACGGGAGGCAGCAGUGGGGAAUAUUGGACAAUGGGCGCAAGCCUGAUCCAGCCAUGCCGCGUGGGUGAAGAAGGCCUCGG
This 396-nucleotide ribosomal RNA is filed under the name uncultured bacterium. RNAcentral describes it as "bacterial SSU rRNA". It matches the Rfam family "Bacterial small subunit ribosomal RNA", at positions 29 to 420 of the family's 1533-position model. The record is from RNAcentral.